This 98-nucleotide microRNA precursor is filed under the name Myotis brandtii (Brandt's bat). RNAcentral describes it as "mir-544 microRNA precursor family". It matches the Rfam family "mir-544 microRNA precursor family". Lineage: Eukaryota; Metazoa; Chordata; Mammalia; Chiroptera; Vespertilionidae. The record is from Rfam by way of RNAcentral.
AAUACCUGGGGAUCUUGUUGAAAUGCAGAUUCUGAUUCUGUUGAUCUGGGUUUGGGCCUGAGAUUCUGCAUUUCUCACAAGCUUCCGGGUGAUGCUGC